This 468-nucleotide ribosomal RNA is filed under the name uncultured Actinomycetes bacterium. RNAcentral's name for it is "bacterial SSU rRNA". It matches the Rfam family "Bacterial small subunit ribosomal RNA", at positions 87 to 572 of the family's 1533-position model. The record is from RNAcentral. Lineage: Bacteria; Bacillati; Actinomycetota; Actinomycetes.
AUGGGAGAGUGGCGAACGGGUGCGUAACACGUGAGAAACCUGUCCCGAAGAUGGGAAUAGCCCAGGGAAACCUGGAUUAAUACCCAAUACCCUGAGAGCGUCGCAUGGCGCACUUAGGAAAUGUUCCGGCGCUUUGGGAGGGUCUCGCGGCCUAUCAGCUUGUUGGUGAGGUAAAGGCUCACCAAGGCAUCGACGGGUAGCUGGUCUGAGAGGACGAUCAGCCACACUGGGACUGAGACACGGCCCAGACUCCUACGGGAGGCAGCAGUAGGGAAUCUUGCGCAAUGGGCGAAAGCCUGACGCAGCAACGCCGCGUGGGGGAAGAAGGCUCUAGGGUCGUAAACCCCUUUCAGCAGGGACGAAAAUGACGGUACCUGCAGAAGAAGCGCCGGCCAACUACGUGCCAGCAGCCGCGGUAAUACGUAGGGCGCAAGCGUUGUCCGGAUUUAUUGGGCGUAAAGGGCUCGU